UUCCGGUUGAUCCUGCCGGACCUGACUGCUAUCGGAUUGAUACUAAGCCAUGCGAGUCAUUGUAGCAAUACAAGGCAUACGGCUCAGUAACGCGUAGUCUACCUAACCUAUGGACGGGAAUAACCUCGGGAAACUGAGAAUAAUGCCCGAUAGAACAUUAUGCCUGGAAUGGUUUAUGUUCCAAAUGAUUUAUCGCCGUAGGAUGGGACUGCGGCCUAUCAGUUUGUUGGUGAGGUAAUGGCCCACCAAGACUAUUACAGGUACGGGCUCUGAGAGGAGUAGCCCGGAGAUGGGUACUGAGACACGGACCCAGGCCCUAUGGGGCGCAGCAGGCGAGAAAACUUUGCAAUGUGCGAAAGCACGACAAG
Molecule: ribosomal RNA, 368 nt
Filed under: uncultured archaeon
Lineage: Archaea
Description: bacterial SSU rRNA
Rfam family: Archaeal small subunit ribosomal RNA
Source: RNAcentral